This 205-nucleotide ribosomal RNA is filed under the name Ctenophora environmental sample. RNAcentral's name for it is "partial Bacterial large subunit ribosomal RNA". It matches the Rfam family "Bacterial large subunit ribosomal RNA", at positions 1292 to 1501 of the family's 2925-position model. The record is from RNAcentral. Lineage: Eukaryota; Metazoa; Ctenophora.
GAAUGCUGACAUGAGUAACGAUAAGGGGAGUGAAAAACUCCCCCGCCGAAAGACCAAGGUUUCCUGUCCCAUGCUAAUCAGGGCAGGGUAAGUCGGCCCCUAAGGCGAGGCGGAAACGCGUAGUCGAUGGGAAACAGAUUAAUAUUUCUGUACUUCUAUAUAUUGCGAAGGAGGGACGGAGUAGGCUAGGUGAGCACGGCGUUGG